GCGGAGGGAUCAUUACCGAGUUUACAACUCCCAAACCCCUGUGAACAUACCUUAUGUUGCCUCGGCGGAUCAGCCCGCGCCCCGUAAAACGGGACGGCCCGCCGCAGGAACCCCAAACUCUGUUUUUAGUGGAACUUCUGAGUAUAAAAAACAAAUAAAUCAAAACUUUCAACAACGGAUCUCUUGGUUCUGGCAUCGAUGAAGAACGCAGCAAAAUGCGAUAAGUAAUGUGAAUUGCAGAAUUCAGUGAAUCAUCGAAUCUUUGAACGCACAUUGCGCCCGCCAGUAUUCUGGCGGGCAUGCCUGUUCGAGCGUCAUUUCAACCCUCAAGCCCAGCUUGGUGUUGGGAGCUGCGUCCGCGCACUCCCCAAAUACAUUGGCGGUCACGUCGAGCUUCCAUAGCGUAGUAAUUUACACAUCGUUACUGGUAAUCGUCGCGGCCACGCCGUUAAACCCCAACUUCUGAAUGUUGACCUCGGAUCAGGUAGGAAUACCCGCUGAACUUAAGCAUAUCAA
RNAcentral lists this ribosomal RNA (516 nucleotides) under Fusarium pseudograminearum. RNAcentral describes it as "eukaryotic LSU rRNA". The stretch from base 164 to 317 matches the Rfam family "5.8S ribosomal RNA". Lineage: Eukaryota; Fungi; Ascomycota; Sordariomycetes; Hypocreales; Nectriaceae. The record is from RNAcentral.